RNAcentral lists this transfer RNA (74 nucleotides) under Loxodonta africana (African savanna elephant). It matches the Rfam family "tRNA". Rfam says of the family: Transfer RNA (tRNA) molecules are approximately 80 nucleotides in length. Their secondary structure includes four short double-helical elements and three loops (D, anti-codon, and T loops). Further hydrogen bonds mediate the characteristic L-shaped molecular structure. tRNAs have two regions of fundamental functional importance: the anti-codon, which is responsible for specific mRNA codon recognition, and the 3' end, to which the tRNAs corresponding amino acid is attached (by aminoacyl-tRNA synthetases). tRNAs cope with the degeneracy of the genetic code in two manners: having more than one tRNA (with a specific anti-codon) for a particular amino acid; and 'wobble' base-pairing, i.e. permitting non-standard base-pairing at the 3rd anti-codon position. Lineage: Eukaryota; Metazoa; Chordata; Mammalia; Proboscidea; Elephantidae. The record is from Rfam by way of RNAcentral.
GCAUUGGUGGUUCAGUGGUAGAAUUCUCACCUUGGAUGCAGGAGAUCCAGGUUCUUCAUUUCCUAGCCAGUGCA